GCCCGCCUAGCUCAAUCGGAUAGAGCGGAGCGUCAGACUCUUAUCGAGUGCGGGUGAACAGGUUCUCUGCGAUCUGAAGGCUGCGAGUUCGACCCUCGCGGUGGGCU
Molecule: transfer RNA, 107 nt
Filed under: Steccherinum ochraceum
Lineage: Eukaryota; Fungi; Basidiomycota; Agaricomycetes; Polyporales; Steccherinaceae
Description: tRNA-Lys
Source: RNAcentral